UACGUAAGGGGCAAGCGUUAUCCGGAAUUACUGGGUGUAAAGGGUGAGUAGGCGGUUAAAUAAGCCAUAUGUGAAAGUCUGUAGCUCAACUAUAGAAUUGCAUAAGGAACUGUGUAACUAGAGUGCAGGAGAGGUAAGUGGAAUUCCUAGUGUAGCGGUGAAAUGCGUAGAUAUUAGGAGGAACACCAGUGGCGAAGGCGACUUACUGGACUGAAACUGACGCUGAGACACGAAAGCGUGGGGAGCAAACAGG
Molecule: ribosomal RNA, 253 nt
Filed under: uncultured bacterium
Lineage: Bacteria
Description: partial 16S ribosomal RNA
Rfam family: Bacterial small subunit ribosomal RNA
Source: RNAcentral